GACGAACGCUGGCGGCGUGCUUAACACAUGCAAGUCGAACGGAAAGGCCCUGCUUUUGUGGGGUGCUCGAGUGGCGAACGGGUGAGUAACACGUGAGUAACCUGCCCUUGUCUGUGGGAUAACUUCAGGAAACUGGGGCUAAUACCGGAUAGGAGCUCCUGCUGCAUGGGGGGGGUUGGAAAGUUUCGGCGGUUGGGGAUGGACUCGCGGCUUAUCAGCUUGUUGGUGGGGUAGUGGCUUACCAAGGCUUUGACGGGUAGCCGGCCUGAGAGGGUGACCGGCCACAUUGGGCCUGAGAUACGGCCCAGACUCCUACGUGAGGCAGCAGUGGGGAAUAUUGCGCAAUGGGCGGAAGCCUGAUGCAGCAACGCCGCGUGCGGGAUGCCGGCCUACGGGUUGUAAACCGCUUUCGCCUGUGACGAAGCGUGAGUGACGGUACUGGGUAAAGAAGCACCGGCUAACUACGUG
This 468-nucleotide ribosomal RNA is filed under the name uncultured bacterium. Its description in RNAcentral is "partial 16S ribosomal RNA". It matches the Rfam family "Bacterial small subunit ribosomal RNA", at positions 28 to 507 of the family's 1533-position model. The record is from RNAcentral.